CUACGGGGCGCUCCAGUAAGGAAUAUUGCGCAAUGGAGGCAACUCUGACGCAGCCAUGCCGCGUGCAGGAAGAAGGCCUUAUGGGUCGUAAACUGCUUUUAUUUAGGAAUAAACCCUCGCUCGUGAGCGAGGCUGAAGGUACUGAAUGAAUAAGCACCGGCUAACUCCGUGCCAGCAGCCGCGGUAAUACAGAGGGUGCAAGCGUUAUCCGGAUUUAUUGGGUUUAAAGGGUGCGCAGGCGGGCUAUUAAGUCAGUGGUGAAAUCCCGGGGCUCAACUCCGGAACUGCCAUUGAUACUGAUAGUCUUGAGUUUGGUUGAAGUGGGCGGAAUGUAGCAUGUAGCGGUGAAAUGCAUAGAUAUGCUACAGAACACCAAUCGCGAAGGCAGCUCACUAAGCCAAAACUGACGCUCAUGCACGAAAGCGUGGGGAUCAAACAGGAUUAGAUACCCUCGUAGUC
This 459-nucleotide ribosomal RNA is filed under the name uncultured bacterium. RNAcentral describes it as "partial 16S ribosomal RNA". It matches the Rfam family "Bacterial small subunit ribosomal RNA", at positions 339 to 795 of the family's 1533-position model. The record is from RNAcentral.